UACGGAAGGCAGCAGUGGGGAAUAUUGCACAAUGGGCGCAAGCCUGAUGCAGCCAUGCCGCGUGUAUGAAGAAGGCCUUCGGGUUGUAAAGUACUUUCAGUCGUGAGGAAGGUGUUAAGGUUAAUAACCUUAGCAAUUGACGUUAGCGACAGAAGAAGCACCGGCUAACUCCGUGCCAGCAGCCGCGGUAAUACGGAGGGUGCGAGCGUUAAUCGGAAUUACUGGGCGUAAAGGGCACGCAGGCGGUUAAUUAAGUUGGAUGUGAAAUCCCCGGGCUUAACCUGGGAAUGGCAUUCAAGACUGGUUAGCUAGAGUCUUGUAGAGGGGGUAGAAUUCCAUGUGUAGCGGUGAAAUGCGUAGAGAUGUGGAGGAAUACCGGCGGCGAAGGCGGCCCCCUGGACAAAGACUGACGCUCAUGUGCGAAAGCGUGGGGAGCAAACAGGGAUUAGAUACC
RNAcentral lists this ribosomal RNA (454 nucleotides) under uncultured bacterium. RNAcentral's name for it is "bacterial SSU rRNA". It matches the Rfam family "Bacterial small subunit ribosomal RNA", at positions 340 to 786 of the family's 1533-position model. The record is from RNAcentral.